GCGAUGACGGGUAGGGGACCUGAGAGGGUGGCCCCCCACAAUGGAACUGAAACACGGUCCAUACACCUACGGGUGGCAGCAGUAGGGAAUAUUGGUAAUGUGCGAAAGCGCGAACCAGCAACGCCGCGUGUGCGAAGACGGCCUUCGGGUUGUAAAGCACUUUUCGGGAGGAAGAGGAAGGACUGUACUCCCGGAAUAAGUCUCGGCUAACUACGUGCCAGCAGCCGCGGUAAUACGUAGGAGGCAAACGUUAUCCGGAUUUACUGGGCGUAAAGCGCGUGCAGGCUGUUCAAUAAGUUGGGCGUGAAAGCUCCCGGCUCAACUGGGAGAGGUCGUUCAAUACUGUUGGACUAGAGGAUGGUAGAGGAAGGUGGAAUUCCGGGUGUAGUGGUGAAAUGCGCAGAUAUCCGGAGGAACACCAGUGGCGAAAGCGGCCUUCUGGACCAUUCCCGACGCUCAGACGCGAAAGCUAGGGUAGCGAACGGGAUUAGAGACCCCGGUAGUCCUAGCUGUAAACGAUGUGAACUUGGCGUCGGUGGGAUUAAAUCCAUCGGUGUCGUAGCUAACGCGAUAAGUUCACCGCCUGAGGACUACGGCCGCAAGGUUAAAACUCAAAGGAAUUGACGGGGACCCGCACAAGCAGCGGAGCGUGUGGUUUAAUUCGUUGCUACACGAAGAACCUUACCUGGGUUUGACAUAUAGGUUGUAGGGAACUGAAAAGGGACCGACCCUUCGGGGAGCCUAUACAGGUGUUGCAUGGCUGUCGUCAGCUCGUGUCGUGAGAUGUUCGGUUAAGUCCGCUAACGAGCGCAACCCUCGCCGUAUGUUAUACGUGUCAUACGGGACUGCCGGUAAUAAGCCGGAGGAAGGUGGGGAUGAUGUCAAGUCAGCAUGACCUUUAUAUCCAGGGCUACACACACGCUACAAUGGUCUGUACAAUGGGUAGCCAAGCCGCGAGGCGGAGCCAAUCCUGAAAGCAGGCCUCAGAUCAGAUUGCAGUCUGCAACCCGACUGCAUGAAGCCGGAGUUGCUAGUAACCGCAGGUCAGCAAUACUGCGCUGAUACGUUCCCGGGUCUUGUACACACCGCCCGUCACGUCAUGGAAGCUGGCAACGCCUGAAGUCGGUAUCCUAACCCUCACGGGAAGGAGCCGCCUAAGGCGGGGU
Molecule: ribosomal RNA, 1166 nt
Filed under: uncultured organism
Description: bacterial SSU rRNA
Rfam family: Bacterial small subunit ribosomal RNA
Source: RNAcentral